UUUGGCCUUUCUCUCAUUUUUCUGUUCUAUUCAAUUUAAUUCUUUUGGUUAGAAAUCCAAAAGUCACAACUUUCCAUUCAAUUCAAUUUAACCGUUCUAAUUUAUUCAAUUCAAAUCAACCAUUGCAAUUAAUUAGGAAUGUAAAACGUUUCUCUAAUUUUAAAAAGUCAACAUCCAUAACUCACACCUCAUCAUUAGGGUUGUGACUUUUCAACUCUAUAACCUCCAAAUAAUUAAUGUGUCCCAUUAAAUUGCAUAUUUACAUGCUCCGACUAUUUUUACUUUCUACCAGUGAUCCAAUCAAGUCCACAAGAAGAGUGAUCACAAAGUCAUGGAUUAUUUCUCAAAUUUUUCUUCUUUUACCUUUUUUUCAUAAAUCAUUGAUUUGAUAUGUUCAACAUAAAAAUAUGUUUCGCUUACUUAUUUUAUUGUGGCCGAACAACUUGUGCUUGUAUUACUGCAUUGAGUUUCAAUAGUGAGGCGUAUAGUUGGCUGGCUUCUGCGAAGAUUAAUUUCAAGGAACACUCAUGCUCCAAUAGAAAAUUUUCCGACUUUUACAAUAUAUCAAGACCAUCAACCAUAGUGUUAAUCAAGAUUUGGGCCAUCCAGAGUCGAUUAUUGGUGGAAAGAGCAUCAUGACGGAUUGAUUUGAGCUGAGUUCGAGAUCCAAGUACCGCUUAUCAGCCACAUUUCCAGUGAGGCGAGCCAACUGUAGAGACUUCAAGGUAUAUGAGCCGCGUCCGCAGACCUCGAAGUCCCUAUCUAUUCCACGCUAUGUCAAACACUUCUUGUAUUUUCUUCUUUUAUUAGACUUUGGAGUAUGGGAGUGUUGUUUCUUUCUUUAGCUUGUGACUUAUGACAUUCCGGGUUUCGGGAGAGUUUAUGUACUGUUCGAAAGCGAUUAUUGUAUAUGCCGAUCGACAUCUCAUUCAUUUCUCUGUUUAAAUUUACCUGAUAGUUGAUAGCUGUUA
Molecule: long non-coding RNA, 971 nt
Organism: Nicotiana attenuata
Lineage: Eukaryota; Viridiplantae; Streptophyta; Magnoliopsida; Solanales; Solanaceae
Exons: 3
Source: RefSeq, a predicted model, not a curated record